This 440-nucleotide ribosomal RNA is filed under the name uncultured bacterium. RNAcentral describes it as "SSU rRNA". It matches the Rfam family "Bacterial small subunit ribosomal RNA", at positions 26 to 518 of the family's 1533-position model. The record is from RNAcentral.
AGAGCGAACGCUGGCGGCAGGCCUAACACAUGCAAGUCGAGCGCCCCGCAAGGGGAGCGGCAGACGGGAGAGUAACACGUGGGAACGUACCCUUCAGUUCGGAACAACCCAGGGAAACUUGGGCUAAUACCGAAUACGUCCGUAAGGAGAAAGAUUUAUCGCUGAAGGAUCGGCCCGCGUCUGAUUAGCUAGUUGGUGAGGUAACGGCUCACCAAGGCUACGAUCAGUAGCUGGUCUGAGAGGAUGAUCAGCCUCACUGGGACUGAGACACGGCCCAGACUCCUACGGGAGGCAGCAGUGGGAAUAUGGACAAUGGGCGCAAGCCUGAUCCAGCCAUGCCGCGUGGAUGAUGAAGGCCUUAGGGUUGUAAAGUCCUUUGACGGGAAGAUAAUGACGGUACCCGUAGAAGAAGCCCGGCUAACUUCGUGCCCAGCAGCCGC